This 465-nucleotide ribosomal RNA is filed under the name uncultured bacterium. RNAcentral describes it as "partial 16S ribosomal RNA". It matches the Rfam family "Bacterial small subunit ribosomal RNA", at positions 338 to 795 of the family's 1533-position model. The record is from RNAcentral.
CCUACGGGUGGCAGCAGUAGGGAAUCUUCCACAAUGGACGAAAGUCUGAUGGAGCAACGCCGCGUGAGUGAAGAAGGGUUUCGGCUCGUAAAGCCCUGUUGGUCGUGAAGAAAGAUAGAGUUAGUAACUCGCCUCUAUUUGACGGUAAUUACUUAGAAAGUCACGGCUAACUACGUGCCAGCAGCCGCGGUAAUACGUAGGUCGCAAGCGUUGUCCGGAUUUAUUUGGCGGAAAGCGAGUGCAGGCAGUUCAAUAAGUCUGAUGGGAAAGCCUUCGGCUCAACCGGAGAAUUGCAUCAGAAACUGUUGAACUUGAGUGCAGAAGAGGAGAGUGGAACGCCAGGUGUAGCGGUGGAAUGCGUAGAUAUAUGGAAGAACACCAGUGGCGAAGGCGGCUCUCUGGUCUGCAACUGACGCUGAGGCUCGAAAGCAUGGGUAGCGAACAGGAUUAGAUACCCCAGUAGUC